This is a small nucleolar RNA of Cynocephalus volans (Philippine flying lemur), 134 nucleotides long. RefSeq annotates it as small nucleolar RNA SNORA48. The record is from RefSeq and is a predicted model, not a curated record. The transcript has a single exon. Lineage: Eukaryota; Metazoa; Chordata; Mammalia; Dermoptera; Cynocephalidae.
UGUCCUUGACUUGAGCAGAGUGUCAUCUGGUUGGUGGUGCCCAUCUCAUAUCAGCAAGGACAAAGCAACCCCUUGUUUAUCCCAACUUGGCUUUUGGUCUGUGCCCAUGCCUGGUUCAUGCCUUGGACAAAUGG